This is a non-coding RNA of Triticum aestivum (bread wheat), 125 nucleotides long. The record is from Rfam. Lineage: Eukaryota; Viridiplantae; Streptophyta; Magnoliopsida; Poales; Poaceae.
CAAAUACUCCCUCCGUCCGGAAUUACUUGUCAUCAAAAUGGAUGAAAAUGGAUGUAUCUACAACUAAAAUAUAUCUAGAAACAUCCAUUCCAAUGAGAAGUAUUUUCGGACGGAGGAAGUACAAG